GAUCCUUCUUUGUGAAACCCUUAUUUUGAAUCUGAGCCCUUUCUCUCUCUCAACCAUUAUAUACGCACACAUCUCUUUCUCUGUCUGUCAGCGAUUAUUGAUAACUCUAGGAAGAGGCUUCGUCUCUCGAAAGAUCAAUCGGCUGUUCUUGAAGAGAGCUUCAAAGAACACAACACUCUCAAUCCUCUCCAUCUACACCGACGAUUUCGAAGAUUCAGAGUGAUUUCGAAGCCAUUUCGAAGAUUCAGAUCGAUUUCGAGAUUCAGAGCGAUUUCAAAGCUCCAUCGCCACCACCUCUGCCCCGGCGAGAGAUUCAGAGAUGCAGUGAUUUAGUGAUUUCAGAGCGAUUUUGAUUUCGAAGCUCCAUCCCCACCACCAUCUGCACCGGUGAUUUUGAUUUCACUAAGGUAAUUCUAUGGUUUUUUUUUUGAAGUGAUUAUCAACCAUCCUGGAUUCCUCGCUCUCAGAUUUGAUUCGCCCAAUUUCAAAGGUUGACGUUCACUUGUGAAGACCAUGUCUCAUCACCAAGUGGAUGAUGCUGAAUACAUGGCAGAUAAAUAUGAAAUGGAAGAUGUGGAUGAUGAUAUGGACGAAGAGUUUCGUGGAAGAGAGAUGGGUGGCUCAGAUUCUGAUGUGGAUGAAUAUGACUACUUGGUUUGUGAUAUAAACUUUAUAAAGUUUGAACCAUAGUUUGUUGUCAUGAUAUGCUAUCUAACUGCAAGUCUUACCACUUUUCUUUGUUUAUUUCUCUCCUAUUGGCAUGUUUUUUCUCUCUUUUUUUCAAGUAACUUUUAGAUGUUUUUUCCCAUCAAGCUCAGGAUAUAUGAAAUACUAACUGUUUGGUACCUAUUUGGAAUAAUAAAAUGGCAUAUACUUCUGCUGCUCAAGCUAGGAGAGGUAAAGAUAUCCAAAGAAUUCCUUGGGCGACAGUACUAUUUUAAUUACAUUUUACUAUAAGGCAUGCUGUGUGUUUUCACUCAUUUUAAUUGCAUUUGUAUUGGCAAUCUUCUACUAU
Molecule: non-coding RNA, 1015 nt
Organism: Camellia sinensis
Lineage: Eukaryota; Viridiplantae; Streptophyta; Magnoliopsida; Ericales; Theaceae
Source: RefSeq, a predicted model, not a curated record